Molecule: ribosomal RNA, 408 nt
Filed under: uncultured bacterium
Lineage: Bacteria
Description: partial 16S ribosomal RNA
Rfam family: Bacterial small subunit ribosomal RNA
Source: RNAcentral
GACGAACGCUGGCGGCGUGCUUAACACAUGCAAGUCGAACGGAGUGGCGAACGGGUGAGUAACACGUGGGUGAUCUGCCUUGCACUCUGGGAUAAGCUUGGGAAACUGGGUCUAAUACCGGAUAGUGCAAGAUUAGCUCGCGGCCUAUCAGCUUGUUGGUGGGGUAAUGGCCUACCAAGGCGUCGACGGGUAGCCGGCCUGAGAGGGUGUGCGGGCACAGUGGGACUGGGAGACGGCCCAGACGCGUACGGGGGGCAGCGGUGGGGAAUAUUGCAAAAUGAGCGGGGGGCAGAUGCAGCGACGCCGAGUGUGGGAUGACGGCCUUCGGGUUGUAAACUCCUUUCGACAGGGACGCGGUACCUGUAUAAGAAGCGCCGGCUAACUACGUGCCAGCAGCCGCGGUAAUUC